RNAcentral lists this transfer RNA (67 nucleotides) under Marmota monax (woodchuck). Its description in RNAcentral is "tRNA.Ala". Lineage: Eukaryota; Metazoa; Chordata; Mammalia; Rodentia; Sciuridae. The record is from RNAcentral.
GGUUGUGGCUCAGUGGUAGAGUGCUUGCCUAGCAUGCGUGGGGCACUGGGUUUGAUCCCUAGGACCU